UACACACCGCCCGUCACACCAUGGGAGUGGGUGAUACCAGAAGUAGGUAGUCUAACCGUAAGGAGGACGCUUACCACGGUAUGAUUCAUGACUGGGGUG
RNAcentral lists this ribosomal RNA (99 nucleotides) under uncultured bacterium. RNAcentral's name for it is "partial 16S ribosomal RNA". It matches the Rfam family "Bacterial small subunit ribosomal RNA", at positions 1384 to 1482 of the family's 1533-position model. The record is from RNAcentral.